Molecule: ribosomal RNA, 248 nt
Filed under: Hyalomma rufipes
Lineage: Eukaryota; Metazoa; Arthropoda; Arachnida; Ixodida; Ixodidae
Description: partial large subunit ribosomal RNA
Source: RNAcentral
AAUGCUAAAAGAAUGGAAAAUUAAAAAAAAACUUUUUUAAAAAUAAAAAUUGAAUUUUUUUUAAUUUGUGCAAAAACAAUUAUAUUUAUUAAAGACAAGAAGACCCUAAGAAUUUAAGAUUUUACAAUUAAAAAGUUUUUUUUUAAAAUCUUGAUUGGGGCGAUCAAAAAAUAUUAAUAACUUUUUAAAAUUUAAAUUGAUCUAUUAUUAAUAAACUAAUGAAUUAAAUACUCUAGGGAUAACAGCGU